RNAcentral lists this ribosomal RNA (265 nucleotides) under uncultured bacterium. Its description in RNAcentral is "partial 16S ribosomal RNA". It matches the Rfam family "Bacterial small subunit ribosomal RNA", at positions 793 to 1055 of the family's 1533-position model. The record is from RNAcentral.
GUCCUAGCUGUAAACGAUGAACACUAGGCGUUGCUUGUAUCGACCCGAGCAGUGCCGUAGCCAACGCGUUAAGUGUUCCGCCUGGGGAGUACGCACGCAAGUGUGAAACUCAAAGGAAUUGACGGGGGCCCCGCACAAGCGGUGGAGUAUGUGGUUUAAUUCGAUGCAACGCGAAGAACCUUACCAGGACUUGACAUCUCGAGAAUCCGCUCUAAUAGGCGGAGUGCCUUAGGGAACUCGAAGACAGGUGGUGCAUGGCUGUCGU